Long non-coding RNA from Vicia villosa (hairy vetch), 8122 nucleotides. RefSeq lists it as uncharacterized. NCBI's taxonomy places the organism in Eukaryota, Viridiplantae, Streptophyta, Magnoliopsida, Fabales, Fabaceae. The record is from RefSeq and is a predicted model, not a curated record. The transcript is spliced from 2 exons.
CACUUUUCACACUAUAAAACAAUUAUACAAAUGCAUACUUCAAAAUGCAAAUGAGAGAGCAUAUGGCACAUAUUCCUAAAUUUGUUAAUGUUAUUAUUUUUCUUUUCAUAUUUGUAGUUGUAACUAAUGAUAUCGUUGUAUCCGUUGACAUUACAGGAGUUUUCCAAUGCAAGUCUAAUAAAGAAUGUCGUGAACAGAUGACAGAUUGCGACCCUCCUAAAAAACCAAGGUGUAUAUUAGACACAUGUAGAUGUUUUUAAUUGUAAGUAUAGUACUAAAAAAAUUAUUCAUGAAUUUGCAACUAUAAUGUUGGAUGUUUAGAAUUUUAAUUGAUUAUUUUUCUUCUUUGGAUAUUUUUUCAAAAUCAAUUUUACUCCUUCAAAAGUAAUUCUAUUAAAAGUUAUAAUUCCUAGUUUUUGAGUUUACUAGAAUCAAUUCUACAUUUAUUAUAUAUUAUUUAUUACAACUCUUUUAAAUUUUUCUUUUUACCCUCUUUAAUUUUCAUAAAUUACUUCUUUUCUGGUUGAUUUGUAUUAUCAUUUUGGUAAUUAUACAAUUCAAAAUCAAUUUUGCUAAAGCUAUCCAAACAAUAUUAAUUGAUAACAAUCACUUAUAUAUUAUUGUAUCCACAUAAAUCAAUUCUUCUAAACUCAAUUUUAUUGAAAUCAAUUAUAUCAAACUCAAUUCUUUCAUAAUCAAUUCUAUCCACCACCAAUUCAAACACACCCUCAACCUAUUUUCUAUGAACCUUCAAAUAAAUUUAAUCCACUCAAUUAUUUAUUAUUGUAUUAGGCCACUGUUGUUGCAUUAGUUCACUUUUGGAAAUUAAAAUAUCAAUUUUGUUAUGAUAAAUUGAAUUUGACGAAAUAAAUAUCUUUAUUAUUUGGAAAAGAAUAAAAAAUGAUAAAUUAAAAUUUAUCUACAAUUUUUUAUUCUUCUAUCACUAUUGUGUUUUACGAAUUUUAGGUUGAACAAAAUUUAUUUUGAAGCAUAAGCAUUUGUUUUUUUUUUUUAAAAAUUAAAAUAGGUAUUUCAAACAAAAUAUAACCACUUGUUAAGUAAAGAAGAAAUUGUAUCACCUAGAGAAGAUAUUGUAGCAAAAAAAAAUGAUUAAUGAUAAAAAAAUUGAAAAAGAAGCAACACAAUUUGUUAUAUCGUUUUUAUUUUCUUGCCACUCACAAUUUUCUUUUUAGGUUGCAUUAUCUUCAUUAGAUGAUGCAAUAGAGUUUGAUUAAUGAAAGAUGAAUUUAUGAGGUAGAAGAUGAAGUUUGUAUAGGGUACAAUUUUAAUUUCAUUCGUAAGUGCUGGAACACUUUGUCAGGUGAUAUUAUAAGUUUUGUUUCUAAGUUUUUCGAAAGAGCUAACCUUCCAAAAGCUAUUUUGGCUUCUUUCUUGGCGUUGGUUCCGAUAGUUGAAAACUCUCAAUUGUUAUCUGAGUAUAGACCCAUUAGUUGAGUGGGGAGUCUAUACAAAAUUAUUGCGAAGUUACUAGCUAAUAGAUUGCGACUAGUGGUUGGUAAAUUGGUGUCCAAAUCCCAAACAACUUUUAUUCCUGGUAGGAAAAUUCAAGAUAGUAUUGUGGUAUUGAAUGAAUUGAUAGAUUAUGCAAGGAGGCAAAUUCAUUGUUUUUAGGGAGAGGUAGAUUAAGUGGAUAGAACCUUGUGUGUGUACGACAUCGCUUUCGGUCAUGGUGAACGGAAGUCCAACGCCUGAUUCCAGGAUGGAAAAAGGAUUGCGGCAAUCCUUUAUCGACUUUUAUAUUCACUUUGGUUAAAAAAGGUCUAGCAUUGUUGGUUUCAAGAGUUGUUCAAGGUGGGGCGUUGAAAGGUUUUUCAAUGAGUCAAGGGUUGGAGUUUGAAUUAUUACAAUUCUUAGAUGAUACCAUUCUUAUAUGUGAGCCUUCGUGGAACAAUCUUUGGUGUGUAAAGGCUUUGUUAAGGGGGUUUGAAAUUAUUUGUGGUCUAAAUAUUAAUCUUUGUAAAAGCAGCCUCAUGUGUAUUAAUGUGGAAGAAGUGUUUAGGCAGGAGGCUGCAUAGCAUUUAUGUUGUGAAAUUGGAUUUGUCCCUUUCAAUUUUCUUGGUAUUCAGGUUAGGGUAAAUCAUAGAAGGAAAAAAGUGUGGAAACAAGUUAUUAGUAACACGAAGAAUAUGCUGUCAUCAUGGAAAGGGAAAUUCUUGUCGAUAGGUGGGAUGAUCACCUUGAUCAACUCAGUUCUUAAUGUAAUUUCAAUAUACUAUCUUUCUUUCUUAAGGAUUCCAAAGAUUGUUCUGAAGAAGCUUUUAAGAAUUCAACGAGAGUUUUUAUGGAGUGGUGGAUUGGAUAAGAAGGGGGUCGCUUGGGUAGAUUGGUGUGAAGUUUGUUGGUCAAAGGAAAAGGGAGUUUAGCCUAGUGUAGCGGGGAAAAUCUGAUAUCGAAGCCAUAGGAUUGACUCGAAUCAAUAUUUCGUUUGAAAUCGCCACCGCGCUUUAUUUUUUCAAAGGAAAAGGGAUAAGAACGAAAAACCCAAAGUUUUGUUUUUUAAAAAAACAAGAAAUAGAUCUCAGGUACGGGUGUUGAUUAUAUGAGGGGAAGGUUUUAACCACCCCUCAUAUCUGUGGUAUUCCACAGGAACCUUUUUGAAAAUUUGUGUCGUGUGUGCUAAAAAGAGUUUGUUUUAUUUUUAAAAUAAGCUCGGCAAAGCGUUAAGCUUUGUGCCUACAUACCUCCUCGGUGCAAUGGAGAAGUCAGAGCUAAUGUAGUUCCCCUUUAGGGAAAACGGUUUAAAAAAAACGAAUAAACACUUUAUCGUCGUCGGAGAGAAAUACUCAGCCAUUGAUCUUGAGCAUGAGAACAAACGAGUUCUUUGCAUCGCAAAUGAAAGAAGGGCUCCAACUCGGAUAAAAUCGACGAGUAUGCCACUAGCUCUCUCACGCGGAAAAGACCUCAUUAUAUCAAUCAAUUUCAAAAUCGUGGGGUAUAACCACUCGGUUCGACAAUUAAUCGUGUCUAAACUUUUGAAAAAAAGGCCACUAAGGGCAAAAGAUAUUUUAAAGAAAAAGUUUUGAAAAGGUUGCAAACAUAAGAAUGUUUUGGAAAAAGGGAGAAGAUUUUGAAAAUCUAAGAAGUGAGAGGAGAUGAAGAGGCUAUCCUAUUGCGUAAAAUGAAAUCUAAGGAAAGAAACGGUCUAACCGAUUUAAGAAGCCAACACUUGACAUUAAGAGUCAAGGUAGUUUCCCAUCCUUUGGACUUAUCAAUACCAAACCAACACAUUACCACUUGGGGAUCCAGAUGAACUUAUUGUCUUUAGCACCACUUUACAUUAAGCACAUUAAAAUUCUGACAAAAAUUAGGCAGAGUAACGGCUGUUUUCGGGUAAAAUCCUUAUAUCAAUGCCUUGGAAUUAACCAUCAAGGGCUUUCAAGGAAAUACCUGCAUAUACAAACAGACAACAAUCCAAUGCCAGAUAGACAGAAUAACAGCAGAGUAACAACAAAAUAAGGGUCCAGAGGCACUGAGUCCAUAAGUCCGAAUCUCCAAAAUCCUCAGGAUAGUAACCAAUAGUCCAAAAGAGAGCCUUAUGUGUUUUUUAGAUUUUGGUUUUUUAUUAGUGUUUUAGCAUAAAAGUAAAGUAUGGUCCAAUUGGACAAAAAGAAAAUAGCGGAAACAUAAACAUAUGUCCAAAUGGACAAAGAGAAAAUAGCGGAAUUAUAAACGUCCAAAUGGACAAAGAAAAAAUGGCGGAAUGUAAAUAUGAUGAAAUGAUAAAGUAAAGCGAUAAGGAAAGAAAUAUAAAGAGCGGUAUAAUAAAUUGCGGAAAUUAAAGUCAAUUGUUAGAUGUUAAAGAUAACCAUCUUGAAACUUGUCAAGUAUGUUAUCAAAGUUAGUAAUGAAGAUCGAUGGUGAGUGAAGGAUGUACUCGGAUUUAAAGUCAACGGAAACUUAUCAGAAGCUUGAUAAAAUCAUAGCGACUACACGAUAAAUUUCCAUAAGUCAUAAAUCAACCGCAUACAAUUCUCUUCCAUAUUUGAUCUUUUUUAUUCGGGACACGAAAUAUUGCGCUAUGUUAAGCAGAUCGCCAAUUGAUUUAUGUAGAAAUCACCCUACAACGAGGCCGGUCAAAACUUUAUGUGCUAAUGCAUGCGAGAAGAACGAUAUGUAGAUCGCCUUCCGAAAGCAAUACCGCACGAAAAGAAAAUAGGUAACGAUCUAGUCUUUACUAAGAAUCCAUAAGAACUCUCAAAGUAUUAAGACUUUCAUCGAUCAAAAGAAAAAAAGGAGAAGAAGAAGAUAAAAUGCAUAAAGAUAAUCAACUCACACUAUCAUUAAUAUCAUUUAUCUAAUAUUAUGGAUUUGGUUCUUUCAAACCUAUCAACAUCCUAGAUCCAAUGAUAUUAAUGAAGUGGAGGAAGUAGGAAACCAAAACAAGCAUAAAAAAGGCAAAAAUCCACAUUCUGCCAGCAGGAAAUCGAUUCAUGCAGGGGGAAAUCGAUUUCCAUAGUGCAGUUUUCACAAAAAACAGGUUACGUUCAGCAGGAAAUCGAUUUCCUCAGUGUAAUUUCCAGCAAAAACAGCAUUUAAAGGCAUGAAACUUGACUUGAACAAAUAUACAAACACCUUAUGAUCACACAUCAAUUGAAGCACGAAUUUUCCAUCAAAUCACCAUCAAAUAGCACCAAUAUAGCAUCAAAGAUGCAUUGAACACAAGCAAUAAAGAUCUACAUCAUGGAUCUAGCAAAUUACCACUUCUUUGAACAAAAUUCUUGGAGUAGCUUCAAGAGCAAGCACAAAGUGUGUAGAUCCUCAAGUUUGGAGAUGAACAAACAAAGAAAAGAGUGAAAUGUAGGAGGUUUAGUUCAAAAUUAGCAAGAUUCAAUGUGAAUCUCACUAAUCUUAUGAAGAUGAACUUUGGGUGAGGGUUUUGGAAAGGGUGAGAAAUGAAUUUGCAAGCAAUUUUUUGGCUCUCCAAGCUUGAGAAAUGAGAGAGUAGUGGGCUCUAUUUAUAGAAUUGGAGCAAGAGUAGUGGUAGUUUGGUCUUUUUGCAUUUGGUAAUUAGCUUGUGUUUAAUUGGUGAUUAAAGUGGCAUUUAAAUGGUAAGAAAUGGUAAAAUGAGGUUUAAGUGGGUUUAAUGAAGAGAUUAAUUUUGAUGAGGUGGAAAAUUGGUAAAAUGAUCAAAUAAAAAGGUGCCAAAAUGAUGUCAAGCUUCCCUCCUUAUAUUUUUUGAAUUUCGCCUUAAGGAAAUCGAUUUCCCCAGGAGUGAAAUCGAUUUCUCUCUGUUCCAGAAGAGAAAUUGGCGCAAAAUACACUAGGGAAAUCGAUUUACCCAGGAGGGAAAUCGAUUUCAUGCUGUCGAGAAUGUGAUUUUGGUGAAGAUUGCUGCAGGGAAAUUGAUUUACCCAGUAGGGAAAUCGAUUUCAUCAGUCAAAGAUGUGAAAAAUGCCUUGUUUAUUGCAUGUCUUGGCUUGGUACCUACAAAACAGAAGCCUACAAAGAAACAAAGCAAUAUUUUUGGUAUUUGGGUUAGUAUAAUAUGCAUACAAGAUAAACAAUUGUUGGUGCUUGAUGGUCCCUCUUGUUGAUGAGGUGAGUGUAACACCAUAAACAAAACUUCCAAGUGAAGCUCUUAAUUAGUGAUUGGGAUAUGAAUGAUAUAGGAUCUUAGGGUCAAAAAUUGGGGUAUGACAGAUGCCCCUAUUUAAGUUUCUUCGAUUUGGAGAUACGAUGAUUGGAAAUCUUCGUUUUGACAAGAUCGAAGAGACUUAAAUAUAUAAAACACAAUUUUUGAUCUUAAGAUGCAAUGCAAUGUUAAUGAAUGCCUAUGAUGAUGAAACAUGAUAACACUGGGGAGUACAAAGAACUCCACUGGGGAAAACAAAUGUCUUGCUAGCAUAACUCCGCUGGGGAAGGCAAGACUUCGUUGGAGAGAUGAAACUUUGGUGGAGAAAGAAACUUCUCUGGGGAAAACACUUCGCACCAGAGAGGUUAAAGCAUCCUCUUUCACUGGGGAUGGGAAAAGGAGAACAUCCUCUUUCACUGGGGAUGAGAAAGUAUGCAUCUUGAAUCAGAAUGCCAAUCUUCUGUUAACAGAAAUCACACCAUCGUACCACUGAUGAUAUGAAGAGAUGUACCGCCGUACCACUGACGAUAACACAUACCAACGUUCCACUGCAGGCAUGAAGAGAUAUACCACCGUACCACUGAUGAUAUAAAAGGGAUAAUUCAUUGACGUACCACUGACGAUGAAAGAGAUGUACCGCCGUACCACUGACGAUAACACAUACCAACGUUCCACUGAAGGCAUGAAAGAGAUAUACCACCGUACCAUUGAUGAUAUAAAAGGGACAAUUCAUCGACGUACUACUGACGAUGAAAGAGAUGUACUGCCGUACCAUUGACGAUAACACAUACCAACGUUCCACUGAAGGCAUGAAAGAGAUAUACCACCGUACCAUUGAUGAUAUAAAAGGGAUAAUUCAUCGACGUACCAAUGACGAUGAAAGAGAUGUACUGUCGUACCACUGACGAUAACACAUACCAAUGUUCCACUGAAGGCAUGAAAGAGAUAUACCACCGUACCAUUGAUGAUAUAAAAAGAGAUGUACCGCCGUACCAUUGACGAUAACACAUACCAACGUUCCACUGAAGGCAUGAAGAGAUAUACCACCGUACCACUGAUGAUAUCAAAAGAGAUGAUUCAUCGACGUACCACUGACGAUGAAAGAGAACACACCAACGUUCCACUAAAGGUGAUCUACCAAGUUGAAUUACAGCCUCAAUGGUUGACGAUAAGCUGCUGAGAACAAUAAGUUGUCGCUAAGAUUAGGGAUCAACUUCUUCUUUAAUCAAGGACAUGGCUUGAGAAAAGGAACUGGAUGCAAACUGUCACUUCUGAUGAAGGGACAUACCAUUUGCUGAGCUUCUUCCACUUGGAAUCAAGAAGUUCAUAAAGCCUGAGAGAUUAUCAGUUGAUGUGAAGAUAAGAUUGAUAUGUAGAGACACACAAACUUUCUCAAAUAACGAGGUUUCCAUUUGUUGUCAACCAAAACAUGAUGGGGAUAACACAAGUUGCUCCAAGUUAAAACCUGCCCCUUGCUUUCAAGCACAUCACUGCUGGAAAAUAAGCCUUUCAAUAUCUGAUAAGAACAUCAAUCACAAAUGAACUUUCCAUUGUUGAGGAACGAAGAAUCCUCAAUAGGUGCAAAAUAAAUGCCUUCUCAAUCUAGAUUUCCCAGCCUAGAGAGGUUCAAAAUAGUAUUGUAAGAGAUCAAAGUUCAACUCCAAGAACAAACUGGAUAGAAACGGUCAAACAAAGCUUUGCCCCUUGAGAAAUAACCUCAACUGGGGGUUAAUUCCAUCCUGAAAAAUGAGCUGAGGAGGAACACCGAAGAAAAAUUCUUCCACGAGGAACAAACUCAUUGGGGAUUAUCAGUCUCUGCGAGGAAUUUACAGAUCAUCCUCUUCUUAUCAAAAGAUCGGGCAACACCCCAAGCUCUAUUAUGGGGAAUCAGAGAAAAUUUCUUUGGAGAAAAUCACCAUUAUGAACUUGCAGAGGAAAUAAGAAGUUAACAUCAAAGCAAACAAAUUAACAUGCGGGGGAUUUUAGUUCAAAACUCAACACAAGAUGAGAAAGAAAACCCAACAGUCAACCGUUGUCUAAAAACUUCUUGGUAGAGAGUGACAUACUCUGGACUAAUCAUGGAAACAACCUUUGUACCUCAAGCUAAAGAGGUAAUCAAGGUUACUUAUGAUUCACAACUUGCCCCAGACUACAUGGUCUAUGAAAGGAAACUACCUCAAAAAGGUUCAUAGAGAUCCUUAGCAUCAUGAAGACUUGGAAUAAUCUGCCCCAGAUCAACAGAUUUUUGGAGAGAUUUGUCAAAUCUCGACGUAGCUGCCCCAGAUUGACUAAACUUGGCACAUUCUUUUACUCGACAAAGUCUUCGAGCUUUGCCCCAUGAUGGUAAUCAAACUUGCAAAAGCAUUAUACUGGGAAAACAACAUGCCCCUGGCAAUGUUUUAGUUUUCUACUGAUGAUCAGAUGUAAACUUCCUGGAUGUCAAACAAAUGUUUACAAGCAAAAAAAUGUUUAUUCUGAGAAUGAUAAUGAAAAUGUAACAAUUAUGUAAGUCUUGAAGUUUUAAAAAGA